RNAcentral lists this ribosomal RNA (305 nucleotides) under uncultured bacterium. RNAcentral's name for it is "bacterial SSU rRNA". It matches the Rfam family "Bacterial small subunit ribosomal RNA", at positions 337 to 640 of the family's 1533-position model. The record is from RNAcentral.
CCCUACGGGACGCAGCAGUGAGGAAUAUUGGUCAAUGGUCGGGAGACUGAACCAGCCAAGCCGCGUGAGGGAGGAAGGUACAGAGUAUCGUAAACCUCUUUUGUCAGGGAACCAAGGCGGGGACGUGUCCCCGGAUGAGUGUACCUGAAGAAAAAGCAUCGGCUAACUCCGUGCCAGCAGCCGCGGUAAUACGGAGGAUGCGAGCGUUAUCCGGAUUUAUUGGGUUUAAAGGGUGCGCAGGCGGCCUGUUAAGUCAGCGGUAAAAGCCCGGGGCUCAACCCCGGCGAGCCGUUGAAAAUGGGGGG